RNAcentral lists this ribosomal RNA (258 nucleotides) under uncultured bacterium. Its description in RNAcentral is "partial 16S ribosomal RNA". It matches the Rfam family "Bacterial small subunit ribosomal RNA", at positions 335 to 585 of the family's 1533-position model. The record is from RNAcentral.
CUCCCUACGGGGCGCAGCAGUAGGGAAUCUUCCACAAUGGGCGAAAGCCUGAUGGAGCAACGCCGCGUGGGUGAAGAAGGUCUUCGGAUCGUAAAACCCUGUUGUUAGAGAAGAAAGUGCGUGAGAGUAACUGUUCACGUUUCGACGGUAUCUAACCAGAAAGCCACGGCUAACUACGUGCCAGCAGCCGCGGUAAUACGUAGGAUGCGAGCGUUAUCCUGAAUUACUGGGUGUAAAGGGAGCGCAGGCGGGACUGCA